UGAGCGUGAAAAAAAUUCCACGCGGCAUCGGAGAGGCAAGCAAUCAAUUAACCAAUCUGUUAAUUACCGCCACGAGCCGACAGCUGUGAGCAUAGUUCAAAGGAGACACGCGUUCAACGAGACCUUUAUGAUCAGAGAAAAGUGCCAUCUUGUAGUUUCUCUUGGCACAUUCUGUUACUUCCUUUUAUCGGCCUUUUCCAUGCCUCCCUUGGAACACAGUGUGGUGGAUCUCGUUAAACUUAAUCUUCUUCGAGCUGUUUGUUUCAAUUACCCUACUCGGUUAUAUUCAACCAAUCUUCUCGAACGUUAUAACUCAAAUAUUUAUAAACAAAAAUUUAACGAAUUUACUAUGCGUUUUUCGUAAAAUUAUCGUAAUAAAAAUCAGAAUCAGUAAAUAAUGUAAAUAUAUAAGAUGUAAUAUAUUUAUAUUUAUAUUUACAUUGAUUAAUAUGCACAUGAUUUUUAUUGAUAUUUAAGUAAUUAUAAAAAAUAUUUGCACAUUACUCUAUUUACCAAUGACAUUCAUGUAAGUAUAAAAAUUUGAUAUUAUAAAAAUAAAAACGUAGAAAUUUAAAAGAUGCGCAAUAUCUUUUUAUAGCUUCCGUACAUAUUUUUUACUGUGAACCAGAAAUAACCAAGCAUAGCUACAGAUUCAAUCACAAAUGAAACUGAUUUAUCCAUUGAGAAAUGUAAUUUCGAACGGAGAAGAUUCAGAAUUGUGAUUAAAAAAAAAAGAAAAAAUACAGGAAGAAACAAAUAACAGUACCAAAACAAAGAUAAAGUGCAUUACACUUAUUCCACGGAUCGAUGAAUCAUUUCAUCCAAUUAACGGUAAUCGCGAUUUAUCAUGGGAGGAAAAACCACGACCCACGCAAUGAUUGAUCGAAUAAUCUCGAGGAAUGAACAAAAAAAAAAAGCUACUUCUGCUUCUGAGAUUUUUUUUAAAUUCCUCGUAGCGGUUCUACGUCGUUGUUCCCUCAUUUUUUUUCUUUCCCCUCGCAUUACGCGAUCCGCUUGGCGAGCAUGGCGUGGAUAGAGCUACGAUCACGAGCUCGUAGGGUCAUCCACGUUGCAGGAAACAGGAAAUCCUGAGAGAAGUGAAACCAAGCAGAAACGUCGGGAACGCACAGAGCCGCCACUGUCUAGGAUUCGUAGUUGUAAGACAAGAUUGAGGAGGUCUGCUCGUUUCGCUCGGGAAUCUCGUUCCCUCGCUUUGACAGUGAGAGAUGCAAAUUUGUGAAGCAACCGUCAACACGUGACGAAUAAUCAGAGCAUACAGUGAACGUGGGUUGAGUGAUUUGAGAAGGGGUUUGGCACACUCGGAGAAAGGAAGUAUUUCAUUUUAAUGUGAACUCGACGGCCGUCCUCGAGCCGCUGGCUGCAGGCCUGCUGUUUGCCCUCCUUCUCCCCGGAGGACGCGUCGACGAAACGGAGACAGAGGGGGCUGGAAUCGCGUGGCACGGCACGCACGUGCGUGCACACGCGUGGCCGUGCCGCUUUUCGCACGGACGAGCCGAUCUCGUGUGGGUGCAACCGAGGGAACGGACCUGCAUCCAGCGAAUAGAUACAUAUAGUCUAACGAAGUCUAACGGAUGUCCAGGUCGUGCUCUGACGGGCAAAUUUGUCGGGGCACGAAGGGAUUCCACCAUCCCUGGGUGUUAGUCAACGAUGCGACAAGGGAAAAAGUUGAAGGAUUUUGGAAGGAGAAUAAUACCAUGGAUGACCAAAUGGUUUUUGUAGAUGGGUUCUUAAGAUAAGCGGUAAGUAUUUAGGGUUAUAGUUUCGAGUUUGGAGAAUAAUAGGCGAAGACAAUAGGCGAGCAAGUGGAUUGUCGAGGACAAUAAAGGAAUUAAUAAAUGGUGUAGCAGGUACAAAAAAUAUAUUGCCAUUUCUAAAUAUACUUAAAAAUACUUAAAACGUAUUAGGUAUUAAUCCGUAUUAGGCAUAUAAAUUGAAAGGUUGAAA
Molecule: long non-coding RNA, 1965 nt
Organism: Apis cerana (Asiatic honeybee)
Lineage: Eukaryota; Metazoa; Arthropoda; Insecta; Hymenoptera; Apidae
Source: RefSeq, a predicted model, not a curated record